UAGGCUUUACCUACAAAGGAUUUAUCUUGAUAGGGUAAAAUAUGACAAGCCUAU
Molecule: transfer RNA, 54 nt
Filed under: Blomia tropicalis
Lineage: Eukaryota; Metazoa; Arthropoda; Arachnida; Sarcoptiformes; Echimyopodidae
Description: tRNA-Ile
Source: RNAcentral